GCGCCAGUAGCUCAGCUGGAUAGAGCAACGGAUUUCUAAUCCGUAGGUCUGGGGUUCAAGUCCCUGCUGGCGUGCCA
RNAcentral lists this transfer RNA (77 nucleotides) under Candidatus Cloacimonas sp. 4484_143. RNAcentral's name for it is "tRNA-Arg". It matches the Rfam family "tRNA". Rfam says of the family: Transfer RNA (tRNA) molecules are approximately 80 nucleotides in length. Their secondary structure includes four short double-helical elements and three loops (D, anti-codon, and T loops). Lineage: Bacteria; Pseudomonadati; Candidatus Cloacimonadota; Cloacimonadia (SeqCode); Cloacimonadales (SeqCode); Cloacimonadaceae (SeqCode). The record is from RNAcentral. RNAcentral also lists the same sequence under 2 other names.